GAGUUUGAUUAUGGCUCAGGAUGAACGCUAGCGAAAUGCCUAACACAUGCAAGUCGAACGGAUCUUGCGCUGUACUUGUACAGAGUAAGAUUAGUGGCAAACGAGCGAGUAACGCGUGCUUAACCUGCCCCGAAGAUGGGUAUAACUGCAGAGAUGUAGCUAAUUCCCAAUAUGCUCACGAUGGUGAAAUCCCAAUGUGAGGAAAGAUUUAUCGCUUCGGGAGGGGGGUGCGUCCUAUCAGGUAGUUGGUAAGGUAACGGCUUACCAAGCCUAUGACGGGUAACCGGUCUGAGAUGAUGUCCGGUCGCGAUGGGACUGAGAUACGGCCCAUACCCCUACGGGAGGCAGCAGUGGGGAAUCUUGCACAAUGGACGAAAGUCUGAUGCAGCAAUUUCGCGUGAAGGAUGAAGCAUUACGGUGUGUAAACUUCUUUUUUGGAGGAAGACGAAUG
This 451-nucleotide ribosomal RNA is filed under the name SR1 bacterium canine oral taxon 369. RNAcentral describes it as "bacterial SSU rRNA". It matches the Rfam family "Bacterial small subunit ribosomal RNA", at positions 9 to 454 of the family's 1533-position model. The record is from RNAcentral. Lineage: Bacteria; Candidatus Absconditibacteriota.